UACGUAGGUCCCGAGCGUUAUCCGGAAUUACUGGGCGUAAAGGGUGCGUAGGUGGUUUCUUAAGUCAGAGGUGAAAGGCUACGGCUCAACCGUAGUAAGCCUUUGAAACUGGGGAACUUGAGUGCAGGAGAGGAGAGUGGAAUUCCUAGUGUAGCGGUGAAAUGCGUAGAUAUUAGGAGGAACACCAGUUGCGAAGGCGGCUCUCUGGACUGUAACUGACACUGAGGCACGAAAGCGUGGGGAGCAAACAGG
RNAcentral lists this ribosomal RNA (252 nucleotides) under uncultured bacterium. RNAcentral describes it as "partial 16S ribosomal RNA". It matches the Rfam family "Bacterial small subunit ribosomal RNA", at positions 524 to 776 of the family's 1533-position model. The record is from RNAcentral.